Python bivittatus (Burmese python) is the source of this 457-nucleotide long non-coding RNA. RefSeq lists it as uncharacterized. NCBI's taxonomy places the organism in Eukaryota, Metazoa, Chordata, Lepidosauria, Squamata, Pythonidae. The record is from RefSeq and is a predicted model, not a curated record.
CAAGCAAUGAGAGCAUUUUAUUCAUUCCUCACAUCUUAGAUUCAGGAAGGGGGAGGAAUACAAACAGGAUAACAAUGAUCAAAAUUGAAAUCUAGCAGCACAUAAGAAAGCCAAGAUUAAUACCAGCAGAAGCAAGAGGAACCAACGCUGCAUACAGAGCCAAGGACUAUACUUAAAACUGAUCUCUUUUGAAUGUGCCAGCAGUGGGCAUAUGGCAUAUGAAUACAUUGUUUUCAGCUACGUACAACUAUGGGACUACCAUCUUUAAAUUAGUAAAAUCAGCAUGAUCCAGGUACAGAGAAUCCUGGAGAUUGGCCAGGAUGCCUUUGGAGAAGGAAACAGAUGGCAACCCCAAAGAGCCCUGGUCAUGUGAAACGGAUGUGCAUUCACCCAUGGAUCCCAGACAGCUUUUCAAGGUUUGAUGAGCUCUCUGUCCAACACAACUGAUAAAAAUCAA